Molecule: non-coding RNA, 74 nt
Organism: Desmophyllum pertusum
Lineage: Eukaryota; Metazoa; Cnidaria; Anthozoa; Scleractinia; Caryophylliidae
Source: the annotation of a GenBank genome assembly
UCUCCUGUAGCUCAGUGGUAGAGCAUUUGACCAGUGUGUGGAAGGUCACAGCUUCAACUGCACUGUUGGAAGAA